CCAAUAGCGUAUAUUAAAGUUGUUGCAGUUAAAAAGCUCGUAGUUGAAUUUCGGGAUCAGUUGGUCGGUCGUGCCUCGGUACGUACUGGUCAAAUUGAUUCCUACCUUCUGACGAACCACGAUGUCAUUAAUUUGGUGUCGCGGGAAAUCAGGACUGUUACUUUGAAAAAAUUAGAGUGUUUAAAGCAGGCUCGCGCUUGAAUACAUUAGCAUGGAAUAAUGGAAUAGGACGUUUGAUUCUAUUUUGUUGGUUUCUAGGAUCGACGUAAUGAUUAAUAGGGAUAGUUGGGGGCAUUAGUAUUCAAUUGUCAGAGGUGAAAUUCUUGGAUUUAUUGAAGACUAACUACUGCGAAAGCAUUUGCCAAGGAUGUUUUCAUUAAUCAAGAACGAAAGUUAGGGGAUCGAAGACGAUCAGAUACCGUCGUAGUCUUAACCAUAAACUAUGCCGACUAGGGAUCGGAUGAUGUUAAUUUUUUAAUGACUCAUUCGGCGCCUUACG
This 499-nucleotide ribosomal RNA is filed under the name uncultured Glomeromycotina. Its description in RNAcentral is "partial small subunit ribosomal RNA". It matches the Rfam family "Eukaryotic small subunit ribosomal RNA", at positions 591 to 1092 of the family's 1831-position model. Lineage: Eukaryota; Fungi; Glomeromycota. The record is from RNAcentral.